This is a long non-coding RNA of Camelus dromedarius (Arabian camel), 2243 nucleotides long. RefSeq lists it as uncharacterized. The record is from RefSeq and is a predicted model, not a curated record. The transcript has 6 exons. NCBI's taxonomy places the organism in Eukaryota, Metazoa, Chordata, Mammalia, Artiodactyla, Camelidae.
UCGAGGCAGGGAAGGCCCAGGGAAGGGGCUCACUCAGGGGCAUGGGCCACUCUGCAGGGAUGCUGGACCUGACAGCAAUGCAGUGCUUCGGAACUCCCCUGGGCUGGGUUUCUAACCAGUGGGAUGGAAGGGCCUUUCCUUCCUGGGGUGCAUUUGGGGGAACUAGAUACGUCAUGAAUGUCAGCCCUGAAAAUGGAGGCUGCGCUACAUCCAUUCUUGGAAAGAAAAAUCAGGCCCUUCCAGCCCAGGUGACUCAGAAAGUCAGUCAGCAAUGUUCGGGGUCCCCAGUUUAGGCUUUCAAUUUGAGCUGAGCGGCUCAGGAGGCCAGAUCCCUGUCCGUGGCUCCAGGAGUAGGCUUUCUGCUGGGGGACAGGAUCCUCACAAACACCUGUGUCUUUGUGGGUCACUCCCCUCUGACAAGCUGGGAGGCAGGGUGCAGUUGUGGGAAAUCGUGUUUCCAUGAGGAGAGGGCCACCAAGUGGUGGGGGCACAGGAGACAGUGAGAAAGAGUCCCGCGGCCUUUCUGGAAUCAAAAAACUGGCAAAUGUGAAAAAGUGCAUAAUUUGUUUUAUUGAACAGGCUGCUUAUGUACGUUUGGAGGGCCAGGUUCAAGGACACUGCAUCCCUCCAGGACAAUAGCCUCAAAAGAAGAACAGACAGAGCAGGAAGAGAUGUGGGGUUUCUCCCAGGAAUGAGGCAGAACAGGGAUUUCUGCAGAUUUGCAAGGAGACCCCGACCGCUGAGCACCGGGUUACAACCCCACGUGACCCUUGUCGUGUUUGGCUUGGGCUCUGGGUCUGGCCUGAUCAUGUAUUCUUCCAGCUGAGUUCCAGAAAUUCAGAGGGUAGACUUAGAGAGGCUGCGUUUGGAACCCGGUGUGGAGACGGAGGGUCCUUUAUCCUGAGUCCCCUCAGCCUAAUCACUGUAGCUGAGUUCCAACACCACCCAGGCCCCCAGGGUGGCCGUGGAGGGAGAGCAAGCCUGGCAGGUGACCCAGGGGUCCCACUGCUGUGCCCCUCCCUUAUCUUUGUUCCCUUUCACCCCGGAAGGUGUGAUUGUCUCAUGUCAUGGUGACAAGCCAUCUCUCUUCUCUGUCAGGUGGGAUCCCCACCCCCGCUCAGCCUUCUUUCUGCAUGGAUGCUGAAGGACCAGGCUCACUUGAAGUUCUGAGUUUGAGCAGUAAGGUGGAAACAAAGAAACCAAUGGAAACAAAGAAACAAGUCAUUGUGGCAAAGCUCCCCACCACAGAGAAGCUGCCCUGAGUGGAAGGGAGGAAAAGGCUGACCAGCCUCUGGUUCCCGUACCGGUCAACUGAUUGGAGUACCUUUCCAGUUUGGAAACAUCUGGGCAGGCCCAGCUGGUAAGUUUACUUUUCUACUUUAACCAAGCAAACUGAAGCCAACAGAAGAGAACUUUCACCAGCAACUCCCAGCACAUCCGCUCGCCUUCUGAUGUCUGUGACCUCACUCUCGCUGCCCCACCUCUUAUUACAGAUUGAACAGGAUCCAGGGGGAAGUACCAAGCCUGUCCCAUCGGCCAUCCUGUGUGUCAUGUCCUGUGACCCAGUGGAUGCUCAGCACCCUCCAGCUGAAGAAACAGAUUGCCUUAGGUACAUGAAAGGUGAGGACACCUACUAUCCCCAUGGAGCCCAGGUGGGGCUGGGAGUCUGCUGUUUGUACAGCCGGUGGGCUCGUGUUUCUUUGGGCAUCCCUGUGCCUGAAUUCCUGCAGUACACUCGGUGCCUGUUUCCUAAUCUGCAAAACUGGAAUGAUGUUAACCACCCCGCAGGUUUGUUGAUGGGCUGGGACACACUAGACUGCCAGGAGCUGGAAUUCCUCUGUGCCCUGAUUGUAAUCCUUCCUUCACACUAUUUACUCUCACAAGUUCAGUCUCUCUGUCUCUCUCUCAUUCACUUGUAACUUUCUCUCCUGCUCUGGUUUCAUUUGAUUCCCACCCUCCUCCCAAUCCCCAGAUGAGUGAAAUUAAUUUCUGUGUGUCAGUUCCAAAUUCCUGGGAAAGAUGCUCUGUCCUCUCUGGAUUGGUUGUCCAACCCAUCAGUUGCAGUCAGAGGAGUGAGUCCCUCUGUGACCAGAGGAGGGGCUCUGCCCAGCCCCCCAGCCACCACUGUGGGAGCACAUAGCUCUCCGAGGAGGAGGUACUGGCUGUGACUUGGUGUCACUAAGUGUGAAUUUAUCUCUCCUCUUGCCCCACCUUCAUCCUCCUAAACAAAGAUGAAAAUUAUA